RNAcentral lists this ribosomal RNA (389 nucleotides) under uncultured bacterium. RNAcentral describes it as "bacterial SSU rRNA". It matches the Rfam family "Bacterial small subunit ribosomal RNA", at positions 28 to 417 of the family's 1533-position model. The record is from RNAcentral.
GACGAACGCUGGCGGCGUGCUUAACACAUGCAAGUCGAGCGGUAAGGCCCUUUCGGGGGUACACGAGCGGCGAACGGGUGAGUAACACGUGGGUGACCUGCCCUCAGCUCUGGGAUAAGCCUGGGAAACCGGGUCUAAUACUGGAUAUGACUCCAUGACGCAUGUUGUGGGGUGGAAAGCCUUGUGCGGCUGAGGAUGGGCCCGCGGCCUAUCAGCUUGUUGGUGGGGUGANGGCCUACCAAGGCGACGACGGGUAGCCGGCCUGAGAGGGCGACCGGCCACACUGGGACUGAGACACGGCCCAGACUCCUACGGGAGGCAGCAGUGGGGAAUCUUGCGCAAUGGGCGAAAGCCCUGACGCAGCGACGCCGCGUGAGGGAUGACGGCCU